Molecule: unclassified non-coding RNA, 2595 nt
Filed under: Megachile rotundata (alfalfa leafcutting bee)
Lineage: Eukaryota; Metazoa; Arthropoda; Insecta; Hymenoptera; Megachilidae
Description: synaptic vesicle glycoprotein 2C-like, transcript variant X2
Source: RNAcentral
UGCAGAAAGUGAACCAUGGUAUUUAAACGAAUUUGGAACAUGUUUUCCUUGUUCAACUAUACUCGUUGGCGACCUGAAGACUCAAAGUCUGAGGAGUCUGGACCGGCAGAUUUCGAAAGAGCAAUAAUAAGCACUGGUUAUGGAAAGUUCAACUACUUAUUACUACUGGCCGUGUUGCCCGCCAGUUUCUCCAGUAUCUUCUCGUCGUCGGCCAUGUCGUACGUUUUACCGUCCGCAGAAUGCGACCUGGGCCUCACCAUGUUCCACAAGGGUCUCCUCAACUCGAUGACAUUCGCAGGUAUGAUCAGCACCUCGUUUUUCUGGGGCUUCAUGACCGACACAUUUGGUCGUAGGAAGAUUAUGGUUUAUGGCUAUAUGUUCACCGGACUUCUGAGCGUGGCAACAUGUUUCUCGCAUACCUCUUGGCUUUUAAUUUUGUUCAAAUUCCUCGACGGUGUGAUUAUAUCUGGUCCAUAUGCAGCGUUGAUGUCAUACUUAGCUGAAAUACACAACGAGACGCAUCGAUCUCGCAGCUAUAUGUGGCUAGGAGUCUUCUUCUCCUUAGGAAACAUCUCUCUACCUUGCAUAGCAUGGCUGAUCAUACCCCAAAAAUGGACCAUAAAUCUAGGAAGCGGAGCGAUGGAAAUCAAUUCCUGGAGAGUAUUUCUGGCAAUCUGUUCGUUGCCAGAAUUCCUUGCAUGCGUGGCCCUGUACGCUUUCCCCGAGAGCCCGCGUUUCCUUUUAUUGAAAGGCAGACGCGAAGAAGCCCUCGAGGUCUUCAAGAAGAUCUACUCGGUUAACACCGGCAAAGAGCCGGACACGUAUCCGAUAAAAGAUCUGGAGGACGAAUAUUCCGUGGAAACGUGCAGCAACAGUCUGAAGGACAAAUUGCAUUCGGGUUGGUUGCAAAUUAAACCAUUGUUCUCGUCGCCGAAUAUCUUCAAGCUCAUCGCUAUCAGUUUGAUCCAACUCGGAGCCACAAUAGGGUCAAACUCCAUCAGACUAUGGAUGCCGCAACUAUUCACAAUGAUGGAGCAUUUCAAGCACGAUUACAUGAAACAAGAAUAUUCGAGCAGCCAGCCGCGCUUCUGUUACAUGUUAGGCCAACAGCAAAGCAAUCAUAGUUCCUUCUCAAGUUUCAAGAAUGAAACUUCAAACGUUGCUCACGAAUGCAUACCGGCGGAAUUGAAUUCAACAGUAUUCAUCAAUUCUAUUGUGAUAGCUACAACUGGUGUUGUAGGAUAUACUUUAGCGGGAUCGUUAAUCACUGUUAUAGGAAAGAAGAAACUGAUAGCGACCUGUUUCAUGGUGGCCGCAGCUUGCUGCGCAUCCCUAUAUUGGGCAGACAAUACCAAUAGCAUUCUCGGUUUGUCUUCAGUUUUCGUGGCUAUGUCGAGCAUAGGCGGUGCCUGUGUCAUAAACGUUAUAGUCGACAAUUUCCCCACCUGUCUCAGAACUAUGGCGGUUAGUUUAACUAUGAUGGUUGGCAGAAUUGGGGCAGUCAUAGGAAACUUGUUAUUCCCAAUUUUAUUCGACUUGUCAUGUUUGGGACCUUUCGUCAUGAUUGGCUCUGCUUCUUUAGUAUCGGCCUUAUUGGUUACUCUUCUUCCCCGGAAGCACUCCGGCAAGGAUAAAUCGAAACAGCUCGCCUGAGAACCGCCAUAUUGGAUAAAAUACGCAUACACAUCUAGGAAUAAAACAUUCGCUUGUAAAUACGUCCCUGGUCUUUCGUCGACUGUGUGUAGUUUCGAUGCAUGAUUAUUUUUAUCAUGUAAAUAUGUAAAUAUACAGUUAUACUCAUGUAGCAUAAGAUCACCGUUUUAUAUAUUCGUGCAAUUAAACUCGAUCCGCGGAACCAGCGUCAUACCUGAAACUUUUAGUGAGUCUCGUAGUUAAACAGCGUGAAAUAAUUAUUUUAGACUAAUCCUUCAUCGUAUUUUAAUCGUUUCGUCAACCAGUGAAUUGUUAGGUAAUCAGUCGAGUUGCGUCGUGAUGAAACGAUGUAACAAAAAGGAUCAUUAAUGUUAUAUAAUAAAUCUAUUUUAUUAUUAUUUUAAUGUGAACACAUUAUUUUCGUCGACUGAGGUAUUAAAUAAGCACAAAAUUGUGAAAAAAAUUUAUACUAACAGCAAGAGUCUUAAGAAAAAAAUAUUAAAAACUUUGUUAUAUUCUUAAAAUUAUUAUGAGUGUAUUCUUCAGACUGAAAUGAAUCAAAAAGUCCUUUACAGUUUUGCAAUCGGUGGUCUCGUUCUUGAGAUAUUAAAAAUUGAGUAUCAGGCUCAUGGGCUUCUCCAUUUAACCCCAAAGCAACUUUAACAUACUCUAAUUUCUAAUAUUCUAAUAUUGUUAUAUUUAUUUCUAGUUAUAGUAAAUUUUAUUUGCUUGAAAAGUAAAAGAAUUUAUCCGACACAUAUUUACAAUCAAAAUGCGUUCCCGUAGGUUUGUAUCAAAUAUGCAUGCGCAAAUGCCACCCCUAAUGACUAGCUGCAUCCCCUGUUCCAACAAAAAUGUUUGAAGAACGGCGGCUGAUAAAACAGUUUCGUUAUCAGCGCAUUCGAGGGAAUUUAGUUCGUGACAACCUACAGCGCCUCGUCA